CACCUCGGGCCUGCAGUGGGUACGGGCAGACUAGAGUGCGGUAGGGGAGAAUGGAAUUCCUGGUGUAGCGGUGGAAUGCGCAGAUAUCAGGAGGAACACCGAUGGCGAAGGCAGUUCUCUGGGCCGUUACUGACGCUGAGGAGCGAAAGCGUGGGGAGCGAACAGGAUUAGAUACCCUGGUAGUCCACGCCGUAAACGUUGGGAACUAGAUGUGGGGGCCUUUCCACGGUCUCCGUGUCGCAGCUAACGCAUUAAGUUCCCCGCCUGGGGAGUACGGCCGCAAGGCUAAAACUCAAAGGAAUUGACGGGGGCCCGCACAAGCGGCGGAGCAUGCGGAUUAAUUCGAUGCAACGCGAAGAACCUUACCAAGGCUUGACAUAUACCGGAAACUUCCAGAGAUGGUUGCCCCGCAAGGUCGGUAUACAGGUGGUGCAUGGUUGUCGUCAGCUCGUGUCGUGAGAUGUUGGGUUAAGUCCCGCAACGAGCGCAACCCUCGUUCUAUGUUGCCAGCACGUGAUGGUGGGAACUCAUAGGAGACUGCCGGGGUCAACUCGGAGGAAGGUGGGGAUGACGUCAAAUCAUCAUGCCCCUUAUGUCUUGGGCUUCACGCAUGC
RNAcentral lists this ribosomal RNA (614 nucleotides) under Rathayibacter iranicus. Its description in RNAcentral is "bacterial SSU rRNA". It matches the Rfam family "Bacterial small subunit ribosomal RNA", at positions 611 to 1225 of the family's 1533-position model. The record is from RNAcentral. Lineage: Bacteria; Bacillati; Actinomycetota; Actinomycetes; Micrococcales; Microbacteriaceae.